Non-coding RNA from Gallus gallus (chicken), 47 nucleotides. Lineage: Eukaryota; Metazoa; Chordata; Aves; Galliformes; Phasianidae. The record is from Rfam.
GAUCUGGAUCUAUUAAGAUCCACAAUUUGUAUACAAGUAAACAAUAU